RNAcentral lists this ribosomal RNA (460 nucleotides) under uncultured bacterium. Its description in RNAcentral is "partial 16S ribosomal RNA". It matches the Rfam family "Bacterial small subunit ribosomal RNA", at positions 338 to 795 of the family's 1533-position model. The record is from RNAcentral.
CCUACGGGUGGCUGCAGUGAGGAAUAUUGGUCAAUGGACGAGAGUCUGAACCAGCCAAGUAGCGUGAAGGAUGACUGCCCUAUGGGUUGUAAACUUCUUUUAUAUGGGAAUAAAACGUUCCACGUGUGGGAUUUUGUAUGUACCAUAUGAAUAAGGAUCGGUUAACUCCGUGCCAGCAGCCGCGGUAAUACGGAGGAUCCGAGCGUUAUCCGGAUUUAUUGGGUUUAAAGGGAGCGUAGGUGGAUUGUUAAGUCAGUUGUGAAAGUUUGCGGCUCAACCGUAAAAUUGCAGUUGAAACUGGCAGUCUUGAGUACAGUAGAGGUGGGCGGAAUUCGUGGUGUAGCGGUGAAAUGCUUAGAUAUCACGAAGAACUCCGAUUGCGAAGGCAGUUCACUGGACUGCAACUGACACUGAGGCUCGAAAGUGUGGGUAUCAAACAGGAUUAGAUACCCUUGUAGUC